RNAcentral lists this ribosomal RNA (333 nucleotides) under Salmonella enterica subsp. enterica serovar Anatum. Its description in RNAcentral is "bacterial SSU rRNA". It matches the Rfam family "Bacterial small subunit ribosomal RNA", at positions 895 to 1228 of the family's 1533-position model. The record is from RNAcentral. Lineage: Bacteria; Pseudomonadati; Pseudomonadota; Gammaproteobacteria; Enterobacterales; Enterobacteriaceae.
UAAAACUCAAAUGAAUUGACGGGGGCCCGCACAAGCGGUGGAGCAUGUGGUUUAAUUCGAUGCAACGCGAAGAACCUUACCUGGUCUUGACAUCCACGGAAGUUUUCAGAGAUGAGAAUGUGCCUUCGGGAACUGUGAGACAGGUGCUGCAUGGCUGUCGUCAGCUCGUGUUGUGAAAUGUUGGGUUAAGUCCCGCAACGAGCGCAACCCUUAUCCUUUGUUGCCAGCGAUUAGGUCGGGAACUCAAAGGAGACUGCCAGUGAUAAACUGGAGGAAGGUGGGGAUGACGUCAAGUCAUCAUGGCCCUUACGACCAGGGCUACACACGUGCUAC